UAUAAAAAGGCAAAAAAUAGCAAAGACGAUUGUGAAAGAUGAUGCUAUACAUCUAUAAUGUCUUCUCUGCCCUUAUAUUUAGUUGUGUAUGUAUUUGUGUAUAUAAUUUUUAAUUGAAAUAAAUAAUAAUAGUAUUGGUUCACACACAGAAAAAUAAACCAGCCUAUAAUAUAUAUAAAAGUAUAUGUAAUGACCACUCUUCUUUAAAUACAAAAAAAAAAAAAUACAGGCCAAAUAAUCUCUGCUACCACAAAAGAUUGGAUUUAUAAAUCAAGUCACAAAAAUCUUGUAAUACUACCAAGUACAUCUCUCUUUUCUUCUUCAUGGUCUGAAGAACAAAAGCAAACUACUGAGUUUGUUACCGACUAGUCUGUUCAAGCAGGUAAGUAAUGACUGCCUUAAGAAAGCCAGCUGCAGUUGCAGUGUGAUCUGGACCUCCCGGUCAGCAUGACUGCAGGUUUACAUUUGUUAUAACAAAAUGUAAAGGGUGAGUGAAUAGCUACAAGCGUGAUAUGCAUUGGCUACAGGUUGAGUGGGUUUCCCACUGUCAUGAAACACCCGAAUCUCAUAACAUAAUACUUCGCCUCUUUCAGAUCUUAACCAAAUAAUGUUUUGUGGCUUCUUCAUUGUACAGAAUGCCUUCCUCAUGAUAAAGUCAGUCCAUCAAGCAAGAUAACCAAGGAAUGGUGCUGACAUCCAAGGACAAGCUACUGCAACAAACCAUCAAUAUAAAUGCAUUAGAGAUGGAAUGGUCUCAGUGAUGGAUACGAUACAUCGUGCAGAAUUUGACAAAUGCCGCAAGUGACUGGAUCAUGGGAAAAACAAAUGAAGGAGAGAUCUUCUACUUGGUCUCUGCAGCCAUUCUCACUGUCAUGGUUCCCAGUGUCAAUUUUCCUGCUUCAUUCUGCCAGCUUUGAUGGAUUUUUGUUCUUAUUUUUGGAGUAGAGGGAAUUCAUUGAACUAUUUUUCCUCAUUCUGCUGUGUGCCUGGCGGGAUUUUUGGAUCUGAGGUUUUAUACUUUUCUUCCAUUGUGAUUUAAAUACACAUAUUGUUUAUCUUUUAUGUAGGCCCCUUUAUAAUAGUGUACUC
RNAcentral lists this long non-coding RNA (1089 nucleotides) under Oryctolagus cuniculus (rabbit). RNAcentral's name for it is "lncRNA (ENSOCUG00000039358.1)". The record is from RNAcentral. Lineage: Eukaryota; Metazoa; Chordata; Mammalia; Lagomorpha; Leporidae.